This 2145-nucleotide long non-coding RNA is filed under the name Homo sapiens (human). Its description in RNAcentral is "HSALNT0066719". The record is from RNAcentral. Lineage: Eukaryota; Metazoa; Chordata; Mammalia; Primates; Hominidae.
GCUGGUGCAGCAGCCGACUUAGGAACCAGAGGAGGUGAAGACACCCAGGAGAUCAGAGCAGGGCUGGGGAGUGAGGAGAGCAGCGCUUAGUGCUUUUGAAUGAUGAAUUCCUGCCCUUAGAGACUUAGUAGGUGGCGUCAUUUCCUCCCGGGUACCCGUCCCCCCAACACCUGCUUUGUCAUUAAAGGACGAUCCACCUCUGCCGAAGAAGAACUUAAAGGACAGGCAUCCCAGCACUGUCCGAAACUCGCCUGGACAAGUCCAACUUCAUUCUUUUCAGUACGACUAGCUCCUGUGCGCUGCAGAAGACUCGGGCUGAUCUGAAAGCGCCUCUCCUAUUCGAGACUCUCAGGUUUUAAGUAGGUCUUCCGCACCUGCAGAUGAAAAAAGAUGUGGCUAUUAUUUUCCUCGAUUACGUUGACAUUGCCUGAAAAUGAAUACAAAACAUUGCCUUGCAAAGAUUUUUUACCUUUUCUUUAUUUCUUUCUUUUUUGUGUGUGUGAUUGUGCAGGGAAAUAAAUGUAUGUCUUUUAUAUUUUUGAGAAAAGUCUAGAGUGACCACAUGUUCACAGCACGCAUUCCCACACUUCUUGUCCACUCAUAAAGCAAUGGAUAAGAGAGACGGAUAUGCACAAAUCUACUAACCCAUCAACAUCAGCCCAAUAAUAAAUGCUCCCAUGAAAACAGUUACAAAGGCCAUCAUAAUUUGUACUCUCAUUAUAAAAUAUUUAGCAGUAUAACUUGAAUUAUAUAGUCAUGGAAGGAAGAAAUCUGUAUUGGAAGAAUUAGGCCCAUUAAUUGUAAAUCAUACAUGUUAUAAGGCUUUUGCAAGCUCUUAAGAAUAAUAAUACAUAAUACAUAGAUAUUUAGCACUUAGGAUUUUUUUUCACCAUCUCUUUUUUUUUUUAAUCGUGAGAAUUGAAAGACGCCACUCAGUCAUUCUGUGACUACAGGAAGUGAUUAUAAAUCAAUGCCACAGUUGCUAACAGACGGCAUUCCUCUCUUUAUACACAUCUGUGUGUCUCCUCACACACAGGCGUACAUGCACACACAUAUGCACACACACACACAAGUGCUUGGCCCACUCAGCCUCCCCAUAAUUUCACAAAAGAGUGACUCUAAUGUUUGCUGCCUCGUGGGGAGCCGGUGGGCACAGCAGUGGAUUGGAUACCUACACCAGAGAAGGCCUGAGAGGCGUAAUCAAAUAAGGGAACCACUUGAACUGAACUCCCAGCAGGAGCGGGAGGGAGGCCUUGAGAGGUUACACGUAGUUUUUAUCCAGCCUUGCAGGAGAGCACCAACUUCCUGCUGCUAGAAAUUUGUCUGCAAAUUUUUUCCUCAUUCAGACAGAGAGCUGGGGUCCAGGAAACACUGGGUUGAUAUGAUAACUUGAUUAAGUCUGGGGACAGAUGACACGGGAGCACCAACUCGACUCAAAGGAACCUGUGCUCUCCUCUUUAACCUCUCCUUGGGAGCCUACAAAUUAUAUCUAUUAAUGCAUCAGCCCCGGGAACUGCACAAAGACAUUGUCUGCCUAAAUGUAUGUCAGUCAUUUGCAGGGGCCUUUGUGGAAUUCCCACCACAUUUUCAUGUCUCUUCGCUAUUUGAAAAAAUAAAAUGUAAACUGAUGGGCUAGACAAAGGCUCACAGUCUACCUCCUCUCGUUAAAAUCGCUUUGAAGGCAGAAGUCAAGUUCAUCAGCAAAAGUGUUCAAGAAAUUCUUGAAAUGGGCCCUGGGCAGCUGGAGCAUAUCCAGGGGAGAGAAACUACAAGGAAGAAGGGUUUGGAAACUGCAUCCAGUGAAGCAUGGAUGGAAAACCCAGGGAUUUGCCUGGAGAAGAGAAAACACAGAGAGGACUUGGGAGCUGAAGAAGUGCCAACGGGAAGAAGGAUGAGAGUUUGCUGUGGGUCCCGGGACAGAGCCCAGGGAGAGACAGGCGUUCGCCAAGUGCCAGCAAAGUGACUGGAUGAAAAAUGGGCCACGUGCUGGGGCCGCCCCUGCGGAUGUGAGGAAAUCAGUAGCGUGGCCACAGCUGCACAAAUCACAGCUGCCUCUCCUGGUGUCUGAUCCAGGAGACAGCCGGCCAUUGAGAGGCUGGUAAACCUCAGCUCCAAAUAACGUUUCCCACCUGGCUCACAUUCUCC